RNAcentral lists this transfer RNA (82 nucleotides) under Schizophyllum commune. RNAcentral describes it as "tRNA-Ser". Lineage: Eukaryota; Fungi; Basidiomycota; Agaricomycetes; Agaricales; Schizophyllaceae. The record is from RNAcentral.
GGAAUGGUUUUCAUUGGUAAGAUAAGACAUUUGCUAAGUGUUCGGAGUAAAAUCCUUAGGUGUUCGAGUCACCUCUGUUCCG